Molecule: long non-coding RNA, 291 nt
Filed under: Setaria viridis
Lineage: Eukaryota; Viridiplantae; Streptophyta; Magnoliopsida; Poales; Poaceae
Description: long non-coding RNA (SVIR_LNC000839)
Source: RNAcentral
UUCUUUGAGUCAUCAAUUUUAAGUCUUCCUUGCUCUAUAGCCAUUUGAAUCUGUUGACGGAAAGUCUUGCAAUCAUUGGUAUGAUGCGUAACAGAGUUAUGCAAUCUUGCAAUACUUCCUCUUUUUGAGCUCCUCAACCGACAGAAUCUUGUGACCCGAGGGCAACUUAAUCUAUCUAGUAACAACAAGUCAAAUGUUUUUGUCGGCCUUGAUAAUGUCGAAGUCGUAAGUCUUUGUAUUUGUCUUGAUCCAAGGGCACACAAUCAGCUUCAUGUUCUUGACCUACUCCAC